GAUGAACGCUGGCGGCGUGCCUAAUACAUGCAAGUCGAGCGAACAGACGAGGAGCUUGCUCCUCUGACGUUAGCGGCGGACGGGUGAGUAACACGUGGAUAACCUACCUAUAAGACGGGGAUAACUUCGGGAAACCGGAGCUAAUACCGGAGAAUAUAUUGAACCGCAUGGUUCAAUAGUGAAAGACGGUUUUGCUGGCACUUAUAGAUGGAUCCGCGCCGCAUUAGCUAGUUGGUCAGGUAACGGCUUACCAAGGCGACGAUGCGUAGCCGACCUGAGAGGGUGAUCGGCCACACUGGAGCUGAGACACGGUCCAGACUCCUACGGGAGGCAGCAGUAGGGAAUCUUCCGCAAAGGGCGAAAGCCUGACGGAGCAACGCCGCGUGAGUGAUGAAGGUCUUCGGAUCGUAAAGCUCUGUUAUUAGGGAAGAACAACUGUGUAAGUAACUAUGCACGUCUUGACGGUACCUAAUCAGAAAGCCACGGCUAACUACGUG
RNAcentral lists this ribosomal RNA (497 nucleotides) under uncultured bacterium. RNAcentral describes it as "partial 16S ribosomal RNA". It matches the Rfam family "Bacterial small subunit ribosomal RNA", at positions 28 to 507 of the family's 1533-position model. The record is from RNAcentral.